This 74-nucleotide transfer RNA is filed under the name Candidatus Woesearchaeota archaeon. Its description in RNAcentral is "tRNA-Arg". It matches the Rfam family "tRNA". From Rfam's summary of the family: Transfer RNA (tRNA) molecules are approximately 80 nucleotides in length. Their secondary structure includes four short double-helical elements and three loops (D, anti-codon, and T loops). The record is from RNAcentral. Lineage: Archaea; Nanobdellati; Candidatus Woesearchaeota.
GCCCCUAUAGUAUAGCCUGGAUAGUACGUGGCCUUGCGGAGGCUGAAACCGGGGUUCAAAUCCUCGUGGGGGCG